Molecule: long non-coding RNA, 325 nt
Filed under: Lathyrus oleraceus (garden pea)
Lineage: Eukaryota; Viridiplantae; Streptophyta; Magnoliopsida; Fabales; Fabaceae
Description: Pisum sativum (pea) long non-coding RNA (PSAT_LNC040933)
Source: RNAcentral
AACCAUAAAUUGUGAGGAAACCUCCAUUGUACACUUAAAUGCUGGAUUCUAAUAAACUUUGUUGAUUCAUUUGAUUCAUGCUUUGUCUUUUAUUAUUGUGAAUUUGUGGAAGCAAUUAGAAAUGAUCAAGGCGCUUAUUGUGAGGAAACCUCCAUUGUACACUUAAAUGCUGGAUUCUAAUAAACUUUGUUGAUUCAUUUGAUUCAUGCUUUGUCUUUUAUUAUUGUGAAUUUGUGGAAGCAAUUAGAAAUGAUCAAGGCGCUUAUUUUCUUAUGAGCACAACCAGUUCCAAAUACAACUUACCCGUGAGCAGAGAGAGUAUUCG